GCAAGGUAGAGAGGACCAUCUUGGCGCCCACACUGAUGUCUAUCGAGCCUCCAGAAAGGAAAGGGAGGGGGAAAUGAACUUUGUUCAGUGACAACUUUUAUCUCCGGGUCUCGGGCUGCUGAAAUGUCAAGCCGGGGCUAGAUGGGCUCUCCUGACAGCAUUGCUGCACGGAGGCUGCCUCCCAGCCCCAGGGGAUGCAGGGCUGCGGUGGGUGGUGGUGGUGGUGGGGGGUGUUGACUAUAAGUCAACCGAAUACAUCUUGAAUUCUCGAAGCUGGAGUUCGGGACUUGUUGCGUCUCUUCUGGAGAGGAAGGCUGCAGAGUGGAGCCAUCGGAUCCCCUGCUUGCAAUGACCUUGAGAAACUGUCCCCGAAAGGACAGUGCCUAAGCCCAUUUGAGAGGAGAAUCUGUCUGGUUUUUCAACUCCCCAGAUGGUGGCUGUGACCCCCCAGGAAGACUUGGAGGAUGCGUGUUGAAGAAGGUGGAGCCGCUGUUAGUCUGUCUCUUAGAGAAGUGAAGAGGAGAGCUUCUUUCACCAACCAGAGGCACUGGUUUUGUCCUGCUACAUGAGUGAACAGUGAAGUUCUGGGUUCAAGGCAUUAUGGGGUCAUGAUCUCACAGGUCAUGGGAUUGAGCCCUGCAUUGAGCUCUGCAAUCAAUGAGG
Long non-coding RNA from Canis lupus familiaris (dog), 663 nucleotides. RefSeq lists it as uncharacterized. The record is from RefSeq and is a predicted model, not a curated record. NCBI's taxonomy places the organism in Eukaryota, Metazoa, Chordata, Mammalia, Carnivora, Canidae. The transcript has 3 exons.